Molecule: ribosomal RNA, 505 nt
Filed under: uncultured bacterium
Lineage: Bacteria
Description: partial 16S ribosomal RNA
Rfam family: Bacterial small subunit ribosomal RNA
Source: RNAcentral
GACGAACGCUGGCGGCGUGCCUAAUACAUGCCAGUAGAACGCACAGUUUAUACCGUAGCUUGCUACACCAUAGACUGUGAGUUGCGAACGGGUGAGUAACGCGUAGGUAACCUGCCUGGUAGCGGGGGAUAACUAUUGGAAACGAUAGCUAAUACCGCAUAAUAUUGAUUAUUGCAUGAUAAUUAAUUGAAAGGUGCAAUUGCACCACUACCAGAUGGACCUGCGUUGUAUUAGCUAGUAGGUGAGGUAACGGCUCACCUAGGCGACGAUACAUAGCCGACCUGAGAGGGUGAGCGGCCACACUGGGACUGAGGCACGGCCCAGACUCCUACGGGAGGCAGCAGUAGGGAAUCUUCGGCAAUGGACGAAAGUCUGACCGAGCAACGCCGCGUGAGUGAAGAAGGUUUUCGGAUCGUAAAGCUCUGUUGUAAGAGAAGAACGGGUGUGAGAGUGGAAAGUUCACACUGUGACGGUAUCUUACCAGAAAGGGACGGCUAACUACGUG